Molecule: long non-coding RNA, 3340 nt
Organism: Bufo gargarizans (Asiatic toad)
Lineage: Eukaryota; Metazoa; Chordata; Amphibia; Anura; Bufonidae
Exons: 5
Source: RefSeq, a predicted model, not a curated record
ACAGCAGUGCCAGCCAUGUGGGAGCAUGCCUGCUGUUAUUAACCCCUGCAAUCCUGCACAGCAGUGCCAGCCAUGUGGGAGCAUACCUGCUGUUAUUAACCCCCUGCAUUCCUGCACAGCUGUGCCAGCCAUGUGGGAGCAUGCCUGCUGUUAUUAACCCUCUGCAUUCCUGCACUGCAGUGCCAGCCAUGUGGGAGCAUGCCUGCUGUUAUUAACCCCCUGCAAUCCUGCACUGCAGUGCCAGCAAUGUGGGAGCAUACCUGCUGUUAUUAACCCCCUGCAUUCCUGCACAGCAGUGCCAGCCAUGUGGGAGCAUGCCUGCUGUUAUUAACCCCCUGUAUUCCUGCACAGCAGUGCCAGCCAUGUGGGAGCAUGCCUGCUGUUAUUAACCCCCUGCAUUCCUGCACUGCAGUGCCAGCCAUGUGGGAGCAUGCCUGCUGUUAUUAACCCCCUGCAUUCCUGCACUGCAGUGCCAGCCAUUUGGGAGCAUGCCUGCUGUUAUUAACCCCCUGCAAUCCUGCACUGCAGUGCCAGCCAUUUGGGAGCAUGCCUGCUGUUAUUAACCCCCUGCAAUCCUGCACAGCAGUGCCAGCCAUGUGGGAGCAUGCCUGCUGUUAUUAACCCCCUGCAUUCCUGCACAGCAGUGCCAGCCAUGUGGGAGCAUGCCUGCUGUUAUUAACCCUUGCAUUCCUGCACUGCAGUGCCAGCCAUGUGGGAGCAUGCCUGCUGUUAUUAACCCUUGCAUUCCUGCACAGCAGUGCCAGCCAUGUGGGAGCAUGCCUGCUGUUAUUAACCCCCUGCAUUCCUGCACAGCAGUGCCAGCCAUGUGGGAGCAUGCCUGCUGUUAUUAACCCUUGCAUUCCUGUACAGCAGUGCCAGCCAUGUGGGAGCAUGCCUGCUGUUAUUAACCCCCUGCAUUCCUGCACAGCACUGCCAGCCAUGUGGGAGCAUGCCUGCUGUUAUUAACCCUUGCAUUCCUGCACAGCAGUGCCAGCCAUGUGGGAGCAUGCCUGCUGUUAUUAACCCUUGCAUUCCUGUACAGCAGUGCCAGCCAUGUGGGAGCAUGCCUGCUUUUAUUAACCCCCUGCAUUCCUGCACAGCACUGCCAGCCAUGUGGGAGCAUGCCUGCUGUUAUUAACCCCCUGCAUUCAUGCACAGCAGUGCCAGCCAUGUGGGAGCAUGCCUGCUGUUAUUAACCCUUGCAUUCCUGUACAGCAGUGCCAGCCAUGUGGGAGCAUGCCUGCUGUUAUUAACCCCCUGCAUUCCUGCACAGCACUGCCAGCCAUGUGGGAGCAUGCCUGCUGUUAUUAACCCUUGCAUUCCUGCACAGCAGUGCCAGCCAUGUGGGAGCAUGCCUGCUGUUAUUAACCCUUGCAUUCCUGUACAGCAGUGCCAGCCAUGUGGGAGCAUGCCUGCUGUUAUUAACCCCCUGCAUUCCUGCACAGCACUGCCAGCCAUGUGGGAGCAUGCCUGCUGUUAUUAACCCUUGCAUUCCUGCACAGCAGUGCCAGCCAUGUGGGAGCAUGCCUGCUGUUAUUAACCCUUGCAUUCCUCCGCCUGCACUGCAGUGCCAUGUGUGACAGAGCAGUAGAGUCAUAGCUGUUAACCUAAACAAGUUGAUUUUAUUUUUCAUCCUCAGAAAGAGGUGAAGUGUUAUACAGGCACUAAGCUUGGAAAAACUACUCUGAAUGGGGCAAUUUGUUUCCUACAUAUCAAUACGUUAAAUAUACUUGUUCCUGUAAUGUAAAUAUCCUACAAUGAUGGUGUUUCUCUAUAUACGGAUUUGUAAAAAUGUAUAAUUCAAAAAAUGAUAGCUAAUUUUAAUAACUAACUCCAUCUCAAUUUUAUUCCGCAGACUUUAAAAAAUGGACUCUAAUGGAAACUAUGACUUGUUGACCAACGUCAACACAUUUCAUAAUCUUAAUCUAUCACCUAAUGAUAAUUCUUCUCUCGUGCUGUUGCAUGAAAAAGAUGAGACAUCUCAUGAAAUGGAAACUUUGGAAUCUUAUUCAUUGGAGACACUGUUCGAGAACAACAAUGAGCUACAGGUACUUUUAGGCACAUAUGAACAUGGUACCAACACAGAUGCCUUCAGCUUCCGAGCGCACAUGUAACCAUCCGGAACUUUCAUCGGAGCAAUCGGGGUGUUGCUGUUAUACUAAGAGAAUCUGCUCUAUUUAAAACUACAGUUCCGUCUGCAAUUCGUUAAACACGUCUAGUAAUUUGGUUAUUGAACAAGAACAAGUCCCUGGAUCAUCUAGCGCAUUAUUUAAUGUAACAAUCCGAGAACAUAAAAGUCUAAUAACCGUCAAUAAGAAGCAAGAAAUCAAAAAAAUACAAAAAAAACUUUGUGAAAAAUAUUCCGGUGAAGCGCAAAAUUCAUCUUGUUUUCCUCAUAACCCACUUGCAAUUGACAAUGCACGUUAUAUUGAAUUCAACUGUCCGGCCAUUGAAGGCGAUUGGUGCAAGUGCCAUGAAUGUAUACCUAUGUCUACCAAUCUGGAAUCCAUAUGCUAUCAGGUAGUAGAAAACGCAGUAAAAUAUAUGUCAAACAUUAAUUGUAUCAGUCAGCAUGAAUUUUUUUCUAUUUUCUGUAAUCGUGUAGAAACAGUAAACAUUACUCAACAAAUAAUUGGUGAUGUUAGAAGACCACCUCCGAGGAAAGAAAAAAACUGGUUUAAAUUUUUUUUUAAGUUUUUGAAUUUUUAUAUAUAUAUAUAUAUAUAUAUAUAUAUAUGUAUAUAGAGAGAGGCAUAUGACAGUAGAUAUGUCAGUACGAAACCGGUGGAACAGUUACGUGUGUCUAGCUGGUGAAUGCACCUUUAUUUGCACCGUAUUAAAAUUUUCUAUAUUUUCAUAAAAUAAAUCAAUUACAAAUCAAUGCAGAAUAGCCUAUGGAAGCAACGGGACCGGUAUUCUCGGACUCUGAGCCCAGCCACACCCACUGUGAAGGAGCCCAGUACCGCCCCGCAACCUCCAAAUCUCCUCCUUGCUCCCCACAGUGGAUGUAGCUGGGCUCAGAGUCAGUUGGACUCAUCUCCUGGGCUGUGUUGUCCUCUUUGAAUAUUUGAACAUGCUAUGCCCAUUGACAUAUCUGCUGUUUGGCCAUGGGAAUCUAACUGUUGACUCCGCAGCUGUUACAGACAGAGAGAGAGAUUAAGCUAUUGGUGUAAUGCUAAAGACAGAAUAUUUCUCAGAUUGUCUGGUCAUUCAAUGGCCAUUCUCACCAAUCAGUUAUCAUAAAGCUCCGGAGUGGAACACCUCUGAAGUAAAGGGAACCGGUCAUGAACUUUAUGCUGCCCUAACUCAGAGCAGCAUAAAGUAGGGACAGACAUGAUGA